RNAcentral lists this ribosomal RNA (450 nucleotides) under uncultured bacterium. Its description in RNAcentral is "partial 16S ribosomal RNA". It matches the Rfam family "Bacterial small subunit ribosomal RNA", at positions 354 to 796 of the family's 1533-position model. The record is from RNAcentral.
GUGGGGAAUAUUGGACAAUGGGCGAAAGCCUGAUCCAGCCAUGCCGCGUGUGUGAAGAAGGUCUUCGGAUUGUAAAGCACUUUAAGUUGGGAGGAAGGGCAGUAAGUUAAUACCUUGCUGUUUUGACGUUUCCGACAGAAUAAGCACCGGCUAACUUCGUGCCAGCAGCCGCGGUAAUACGAAGGGUGCAAGCGUUAAUCGGAAUUACUGGGCGUAAAGCGCGCGUAGGUGGUUUUGUAAGUUGGAGGUGAAAUCCCCGGGCUCAACCUGGGAACUGCCUCCAAAACUGCAUGACUAGAGUACGGUAGAGGGUAGUGGAAUUUCCUGUGUAGCGGUGAAAUGCGUAGAUAUAGGAAGGAACACCAGUGGCGAAGGCGACUACCUGGACUGAUACUGACACUGAGGUGCGAAAGCGUGGGGAGCAAACAGGAUUAGAAACCCUGGUAGUCC